Molecule: ribosomal RNA, 920 nt
Filed under: Globisporangium nunn
Lineage: Eukaryota; Oomycota; Peronosporomycetes; Pythiales; Pythiaceae
Description: eukaryotic LSU rRNA
Rfam family: 5.8S ribosomal RNA (bases 222-376)
Source: RNAcentral
GGUGAACCUGCGGAAGGAUCAUUACCACACCAAAAAAACUUUCCACGUGAACCGUUCUGUCCGUUUUGUGCCGUUGCUGUUGUCGUGCUUCGACGAGAAGAGCAGUGGCUAAACGAAGGCUGUGAGCUUCGUGCUUGCGGUCGAUUUAUUCUUUCAAACCCCAUACGUUAAGAACUGAAGUAUACUGUGAGGACGAAAGUCCUUGCUUUGAACUAGAUAGCAACUUUCAGCAGUGGAUGUCUAGGCUCGCACAUCGAUGAAGAACGCUGCGAACUGCGAUACGUAAUGCGAAUUGCAGGAUUCAGUGAGUCAUCGAAAUUUUGAACGCAUAUUGCACUUUCGGGUUAUGCCUGGAAGUAUGUCUGUAUCAGUGUCCGUACCUCAACCUUGCCUUUCUUUUCCGGUGUAGUCCGGAGCGGAAACGUGCAGACUUGAAGUGUCUCGCUUGUUGGUUUGCGAAAGCAAUUUUGCAACACAGCUGGGCGAGUCCUUUGAAAUGGACACGAUCUUUCUACUGUUUUCUACGGAGUGUGGCGCUCGAAAAGCGGCGGUUUCCUUCGGGAUCGCUCGCAGUUUGGACGGCGACUUUGGCGAAUGCAUAUGGGAAGCAGACUCGACUCGCGGUACGUUAGGCGUGGUGCUGUUGCUUUGUUGCAACGGCGUCGUGCUGAACAAUGUUGCGUGUUGUGGUGUUGUUUCCUGUGUUCGCUUCGAGGUGUACUGUCUAUUGGCUGUGAGAGUGAACCUUUGUGGGAUGUGUAUGCCGUCGUUCGGUAGAGCGCUGCGUGAUACUGUUGUGGGAAUGCCAUGGCUUUGUCGGCUAUUGGUAAAGUAGUGAGACGGAAUUUGGGAAGUAUUGUGUGUACUCGCGCGUGCAGCGCGUGUGUGCUCAUCUCAAUUGGACCUGAUAUCAGACAAGC